This 29-nucleotide non-coding RNA is filed under the name Mus musculus (house mouse). Lineage: Eukaryota; Metazoa; Chordata; Mammalia; Rodentia; Muridae. The record is from RNAcentral.
UGCAUAAAUCCUUCACAGGUCUGAGGCCA